This is a non-coding RNA of Maylandia zebra (zebra mbuna), 1974 nucleotides long. The record is from RefSeq and is a predicted model, not a curated record. NCBI's taxonomy places the organism in Eukaryota, Metazoa, Chordata, Actinopteri, Cichliformes, Cichlidae.
GUGUCAGCGCUGGUCUCUCAUCCCUCUGAGUGGGUUAUUUUAUGGAAUGCUGGAACAGGAUAGAGGAGUUGCAAAGGGGGAGUGACAAGAGCCUAGACAGAGAGAGAGAGAGAGAGAGAGAGAGAGAGAGAGAGAGAGAGAGAGAGAGAGAGAGAGACUAUAUAUAUAUCCUAAGGAGGCUGGUGCUCACAGGCACAGCUGGACUACUGGAUAACUGGACUGCAGCCCAUUGGACAUUUAACUAAAAAGGCACCAGCAAAGCCUUUGGAAAUCCUUUUAGAUUAGUUACUGUGAAACAUAUAGUUCAAAGAUGAACAGUGUGGCAGACUGGCUCGUGAACAACAGGGACAAGAUAGAGAAAGGUGUGGAGAUCAUGGGCAAGCCUCUGAGGUGCUAGCUGCCACUGUGGGCCAGUUACACCCCGUCUUGGAGGCCGUGUUUGUGGCCUCAGCCGAGCUGCUCAGCAACCCGGACAGCAAAGAGGCUCGCUACUUAACUCAACAAUUCGAGAUGGUGAACCAGAAACUUGAAGGAAUCCAAGAUGAGAUUGAUAAACUUGCCCUGGAGCUGCAGAGGACGUCGAUGAACAAGCAAAACUUUGAUCGAGAGGCACAGAUGAUCAGCCAGUAUGAGAAGUUUCAGGUCUUUGUCAACGCCAAGCCAAAGUUCAAGGAGAAAAGAUGGAGAAAUUCAUCAGCCAUUAUGAGAGCACCGAUAUGGAUUUAAACUUGGAUGCCCUCUACAAUUCUGUCACUGGGGAGAACACCUCAGGAGACCCUAUGCUGGAAACUGUAGUUAAUACAGAGCAGAGAAGCAGAAGAGCAGUGGAGGACUUCUGUGCUCGACUGAAGAAGCUUUUUGUGGUUGGCAUUAUCGCUGUCAUGGGUUAUGCUGCCCUCAAGGAAGGAGGAGUUGGGGAGGAGAUGGUGAAGAAGUGGCAAGGACGAAUGGAGGAAGUGGAAAAGCGAAUGAAAGCAGCUGUGGAUGACUGUACAGAGAACUUUGCCACACAAGCCAAGGUGGACAUAGAGCAUCUAGUUCAGGAGAACCCGGGCACUGCCGACCUGAACUUCACCAACACCAUCUUGGAUGCUCUUGCUAAGAAAUACGACUGGGUGAACUGGUCCAUCAGGGCCUUUAAUGACCGGGAGCGCAUUUUCUUUUUUAACUGGCUAGCUGGAAAGAAGUACCAUGGAAGUGGGGGAGCCAACUGGUUUGACCUUUUGACCAAGAACAAGAUCAAGAUUGUGGUCUCUUUCUGUGUCAACCCCAAGCCUAUUAACAAGAGUCAGAUCCAGGAGAAGAUUGAGCAGGAGAAGUUGAAGGGGAACAUGAUGGCAGUUGCUCUGUCUUUGAACAAAAGCUUCCCCAACUGCCUGGUCCAUGCUGUCAGCCAUUACAAGGCAGUGGUGCAGUCCACCAACUUCCAAGAGGAUUGUUACUACUUUGGAAAACACAAACGAGCGUACUUGUGCAUUCAUCCUGAGUAGGCCAAUGAAAAAUGUAAUGUGUACCUUCUUAUUGAUGAAUUUAUGAAUGUCUUUAUCAGAGACUUGAAAAUAUCUCCAUUCAAUAUAGAAAUGUAUUCCUAAAUCUUGCCUCUGUUGAUGUGUAAUCAGCUCUGUCUGGGUUUUGCUAUGUGACCCAUUGUCUAAUGCAACAAUUUAUAUUCUUAUAUGUGUAGCUUUGAGGUGAGAAAAUUCAGAGCCAGAUGUGUCCAUGCCAGCUUUGUCUUAGCAUUAGGGUCGUGAAUCUGUUCCCACUGAAUAUUAGCCUGCUAAGGGUGGAUGACUGAGAAAUAUGUGUUUGUGAGCUUUCAGAGAUUUUAAGAUUAUAUGUGAAAAUCUACCCUUGGAAAAAUGCUGGCUUUGGAUGUUCUGAAGAUGACAUUCGUGACUAUCAAAACUGGGUUUGGAUGGGAUUAUUAGUCAGCGACUUGGUUCUGAAUAAAAAAAUAUUAAAGAGGUGUUCAAC